This 6369-nucleotide long non-coding RNA is filed under the name Triticum aestivum (bread wheat). Its description in RNAcentral is "long non-coding RNA (TAES_LNC013697)". Lineage: Eukaryota; Viridiplantae; Streptophyta; Magnoliopsida; Poales; Poaceae. The record is from RNAcentral.
UCAUAAGGAUGACAAUCAAAGAACACCUCAUGUUUCAAAUUUGUCACACAACGGUUACCAUACGUGCAUGCUACGGGACUUGCAAACCUCAACGCAAGUAUUUAUCAAAUUCACAAAUACUCAACUAGCACGACUCUAAUAUCACCAUCUUUAUAUCUCAAAACAAUUAUCAAGUAUCAAACUUCUCAUAGUAUUCAAUGCACUCUAUAUGAAAGUUUUUAUUAUAUCCCUCUUGGAUGCCUAUCAUAUUAGGACUAAAUUCCUAACCAAAGCAAAUUACCGUGCUGUUUAAGACUCUCAAAAUAAUAUAAGUGAAGCAUUAGAGUUCAUCUAUUUCUUCAAAAUAAAACCACCGCCGUGCUCUAAAAGGAUAUAAGUGAAGCACUAGAGCAAACGACAAACUACUCCGAAAGAUAUAAGUGAAGAUCAAUGAGUAGUCGAAUAAUUAUGUAACUAUGUGAAGACUCUCUAACAUUUAAGAAUUUCAGAUCUUGGUAUAUUAUUCAAACAGCGAGCAAAAAAAAAUAAAAAAAAUGACGCUCCAUGCAAAACACAUAUCAUGUGGUGAAUAAAAAUAUAGCUCCAAGUAAAGUUACCGAUGAACAAAGACGAAAGAGGGGAUGCCUUCCGGGGCAUCCCCAAACAUAGGCUCUUGGUUGUCCUUGAAUAUUACCUUGGGGUGCCUUGGGCACCCCAAGCUUAGGCUCUUGCCACUCCUUAUUCCAUAGUCCAUCGAAUCUUUACUCAAAACUUGAAAACUUCACAACACAAAACUUAACAGAAAACUCGUAAGCUCCGUUGGUAUAAGAAAAUAAAUCACCACUUAGGUACUGUUGUGAACUCAUUCUAAAUUCAUAUUGGUGUAAUAUCUACUGUAUUCCAACUUCUCUAUGGUUUAUAAACUCUUUUACUAGCCGUAGAUUCAUCAAAAUAAGCAAACAACACAUAGAAAACAGAAUCUGUCAAAAACAGAACAGUCUGUAGUAAUCUGGUAACUUUCCAUACUUACGUAACUCCAAAAAUUCUACCAAAUUAGGAAAACCUGAGAAAUUUGUGUACCAACCCAUAGAAAAAAGAAUCAGAUCAAAAGCACGUUUCUGUGAAUUAUGAACCUAAUUUACUUGGCGCAAAAGUUUCUGAUUUUCAGCAGGAUCAACACAACUAUCACCGUAAGCUAUCCUAAAGGUCUUACUUGGCACUUUAUUGAACAAAAGCUAUAAAACAUGAUUACUACAGUAGCAUAAUCAUGUGAAGACACAAAAACAGUAAAGGUAAAUAUUGGGUUGUCUCCCAACAAGCGCUUUUCUUUAUUGCCUUUUUAGCUAGGCAUGAUGAUUUUAAUGAUGCUCACAUAAAAGAUAAGAACUGGAACAUAAAGAGAGCAUCAUGAAGCAUAUGACAAGCACAUUUAAGCCUAACCCACUUCCUAUGCAUAGGGAUUUUGUGAGCAAACAACUUAUGGGAACAAUUAUUAACUAGCAUAGGAAAGCAAAACAAGCAUAGCUUCAAGAUUUUCAACACAUAGAGAGGAAACUUGAUAUUAUUGCAACUCCUACAAGCAUAUAUUUCUCCCUCAUAAUAAUUUUUAGUAGCAUCAUGAAUGAAUUCAACAAUAUAACCAUCACAUAAAUCAUUCCUUUCAUGAUCUACAAGCAUAAAAAAAUUAUUAGUCUCCACAAAAGCAAAUUUGUUCUCAUGAAUAGUAGUGGGAGCAAAUUCAACAAAAUAACUAUCAUGUGAAGCAUAAUCCAAUUGAAAAUUAAAAUCAUGAGGACAAGUUUCAUGGUUAUCCUUAUUCUUUGUAGCAUAUGUGUCAUCACAAUAAUCAUCAUAAAGAGGAGGCAUGCUUUCAUCAUAAUAAAUUUUCUCAUCAAAACUUGGGGGACUAAACAUAUCAUCUUCAUCCAACAUAGCAUCCCCAAGCUUGUGGCUUUGCAUAUCAUUGGCAUCAUGGGUAUUCAAAGAAUUCGUACUAACAACAUUGCAAUCAUGUUCAUCAUUCACAUAUUUUAUGCCAAGUAUUCUAUGUAAUUCUUCUUCUAGUACUUGAGCACAAUUUUCCUUCCCAUCAUUUUCACGAAAGACAUUAAAAAGAUGAAGCAUAUAAGGUAACCUUAAUUCCAUUUUUUGUAGUUUUAUUUUAUAGACUAAACUAGUGAUAAAACAAGAAACUAAAAGAUUCGAUUGCAAGAUCUAAAGAUAUACCUUCAAGCACUCACCUCCCCGGCAACGGCGCCAGAAAUUAUCUUGAUGCCUACUACGCAACCUUCUCCUUGUAGACGUUGUUGGGCCUCCAAGUGCAGAGGUUUGUAGGACAGUAGCAAAUUUCCCUCAAGUGGAUGACCUAAGUUUUAUCAAUCCGUGGGAGGGGUAGGAUGAAGAUGGUCUCUCUCAAGCAACCCUGCAACCAAAUAAAAAAGAGUAUCUUGUGUCCCCAACACACCCAAUACAAUGGUAAAUUGUAUAGGUGCACUAGUUCGGCGAAGAGAUGGUGAUACAAGUGCAAUAUGGAUGGUAGAUACAGGUUUUCGUAAUAUGAAAAUAUAAAAACAACAAGGUAGGAAGCGAUAAAAGUGAACAUAAACGGUAUUGCAAUGCUAGGAAACAAGGCCUAAGGUUCAUACUUUCACUAGUGCAAGUUCUCUCAACAAUAAUAACAAAAUUGGAUCAUAUAACUAUCCCUCAACAUGCAACAAAGAGUCACUCCAAAGUCACUAAUAGCGGAGAACAAACGAAGAGAUUAUUGUAGGGUACGAAACCACCUCAAAGUUAUCCUUUCGGAUCGAUCUAUUCAAGAGUCCGUAGUAAAAUAGCACGAAGCUAUUCUUUCCGUUCGAUCUAUCAUAGUGUUCGUACUAGAAUAACACCUUAAGAUACAAAUCAACCAAAACCCUAAUGUCACCUAGAUACUCCAAUGUCACCUCAAGUAUCCGUGGGUAUGAUUAUACGAUAUGCAUCACACAAUCUCAGAUUCAUCUAUUCAACCAACACAAAGAACAUCUAAGAGUGCCCCAAAGUUUCUAUCGGAGAGUCAAGACGAAAACAUGUACCAACCCCCAUGCAUAAGUUCACAAGGUCACUGAACCCGCAAGUUGAUCACCAAAACAUACAUCAAGUAGAUCACGUGAAUAUCCCAUUGUCACCACAGAUAAGCACAUGCAAGACAUACAUCAAGUGUUCUCAAAUCCUUAAAUACUCAAUCCGAUAAGAUAACUUUGAAGGGAAAACUCAAUCCAUUACAAGAGAGUAGAGGGGGAGAAACAUCAUAAGAUCCAACUAUAAUAACAAAGCUCGUGAUACAUCUAGAUCGUGCCGAAUCAAGAACGCGCGCGCGAGAGAGAGAGAUCAAACACAUAGCUACUGGUACAUACCCUCAACCCCGAGGGUGAACUACUUCCUCCUCGUCAUGGAGAGCGUCGGGAUGAUGAAGAUGGCAACCGGUGAGGGAUCCCCCUCCGGUAGGGUGCCGGAACAGGGUCCCGGUUGGUUUUUGGUGGCUACAGAGGCUUGCGGCGGCGGAACUCCCGAUCUAGGUUGUUUUUUUGGAGGUUUCUAUAUUUAUAGGAAUUUUUGGCGUAGGUCUCACGUCAGGGGGGUCUCCGAGUCGUCCACGAGAUAGGGGGCGCGCCCAGGGGGUAGGGCGCGCCCCCCACCCUCAUGGACGGCCCGAGACUCUUCUGCCCAACUCUUUUACUCCAGGGGCUUCUUUUGGUCCAUAAAAAAUCGUCAAAAAUUUGCAUGUUAAUUGGACUCCGUUUGGUAUUCCUUUUCUGUAAAACUCAAAAACAAGGAAAAAAACAGAAACUAGCACUGGGCUCUAGGUUAAUAGGUUAGUCCCAAAAUCAUAUAAAAUAGCAUAUAAAUGCAUAUAAAACAUCCUAGAUGGAUAAUAUAAUAGCAUGGAACAAUCAAAAAUUAUAGAUACGUUGGAGACGUAUCAGCAUCCCCAAGCUUAAUUCCUGCUCGUCCUCGAGUAGGUAAAUGAUAAAAACAGAAUUUUUGAUGUGGAAUGCUACCUAACAUAAUUAUCAAUGUAGUUUUCUUUAUUGUGGCAUGAAUGUUCAGAUUCGAAAGAUUCAAGACAAAAGUUUAAUAUUGACAUAAAAAUAAUAAUACUUCAAGCAUACUAACUAAGUAAUUAUGUCUUCUCAAAACAACAUGGCCAAAGAAAGCUCAUCCCUACAAAAUCAUAUAGUUUGGACAUGCUUCAUUUUCGUCACACAAAAUGCUCCCAUCAUGCACAACCCCGAUGACAAGCCAAGCAAUUGUUUCAUACUUUAGUAUUCUCAAAAAAUUUCAACUUUCACGCAAUAUAUGAGCGCGAGCCAUGGACAUAGCACUAUGGGUGGAAUAGAAUAUGAUGAUGGCGGUUGUAUGGAGAAGACAAAAAGGGAGAAAGUCUCGCAUCAACGCGGCUAAUCAACGGGCUAUGGAGAUGCCCAUCAAUUGAUGUCAAUGCGAGGAGUAGGGAUUGCCAUGCAACGGAUGCACUAGAGCUAUAAAUGUAUGAAAGCUCAACAAAAGAAACUAAGUGGGUGUGCAUCCAACUUGCUUGCUCACGAAGACCUAGGGCAUUUCGAGGAAGCCCAUCGUUGGGAUAAACAAGCCAAGUUCUAUAAUGAAAAAUUCCCACUAGUAUAUGAAAGUGACAAAAUAAGAGACUCUCUAUCAUGAAGAUCAUGGUGCUACUUUGAAGCACAAGUGUGGAAAAAGGAUAGUAGCAUUGUCCCUUCUUUUUUUUGGGCCUUCCUUUUUUUAUUUGGCCUUUCUCUUUUUUUUUGGCCUUUCCUUUUUUUAUUUGGCCUUUCCUUUUUUUCAUGGGACAAUGCUCUAUUAAUGAUGAUCAUCACACUUCUAUUUAUUUACAACUCAAUGAUUACAACUCGAUACUAGAACAAAAUAUGACUCUAUAUGAAUGCCUCCGGCGGUGUACCGGGAUGGGCAAUGAAUCAAGAGUGACAUGUAUGAAAAAUUAUGCAUGGUGGCCUUGCCACAAAUACGAUGUCAACUACAUGAUCAUGGAAGGCAAUAUGACAAUGAUGAAGCGUGUCAUAAUAAAUGAAACGGUGGAAAGUUGCAAGGCAAUAUAUCUCGGAAUGGCUAUGGAAAUGCCAUAAUAGGUAGGUAUGGUGGCUGUUUUGAGGAAGAUAUAGGGGGGUUUAUGUGUGAUAGAGCGUAUCAUAUCACGGGGUUUGGAUGCACCGGCGAAGUUUGCACCAACUCUCAAUGUGAGAAAGGGCAAUGCACGGUACCGAAGAGGCUAGCAAUGAUGGAAAGGUGAGAGUGCGUAUAAUCCAUGGACUCAACAUUAGUCAUAAAGAACUCACAUACUUAUUGCAGAAAUCUACAAGUCAUCAAAAACCAAGCAUUACGCGCAUGCUCCUAGGGGGAUAGAUUGGUAGGAAAAGACCAUCGCUCGUCCCCGACCGCCACUCAUAAGGAUGACAAUCAAAGAACACCUCAUGUUUCAAAUUUGUCACACAACGGUUACCAUACGUGCAUGCUACGGGACUUGCAAACCUCAACGCAAGUAUUUAUCAAAUUCACAAAUACUCAACUAGCACGACUCUAAUAUCACCAUCUUUAUAUCUCAAAACAAUUAUCAAGUAUCAAACUUCUCAUAGUAUUCAAUGCACUCUAUAUGAAAGUUUUUAUUAUAUCCCUCUUGGAUGCCUAUCAUAUUAGGACUAAAUUCCUAACCAAAGCAAAUUACCGUGCUGUUUAAGACUCUCAAAAUAAUAUAAGUGAAGCAUCAGAGUUCAUCUAUUUCUUCAAAAUAAAACCACCGCCGUGCUCUAAAAGGAUAUAAGUGAAGCACUAGAGCAAACGACAAACUACUCCGAAAGAUGUAAGUGAAGAUCAAUGAGUAGUCGAAUAAUUAUGUAACUAUGUGAAGACUCUCUAACAUUUAAGAAUUUCAGAUCUUGGUAUAUUAUUCAAACAGCGAGCAAAACAAAAUAAAAUAAAAUGACGCUCCAUGCAAAACACAUAUCAUGUGGUGAAUAAAAAUAUAGCUCCAAGUAAAGUUACCGAUGAACGAAGACGAAAGAGGGGAUGCCUUCCGGGGCAUCCCCAAGCUUAGGCUCUUGGUUGUCCUUGAAUAUUACCUUGGGGUGCCUUGGGCACCCCAAGCUUAGGCUCUUGCCACUCCUUAUUCCAUAGUCCAUCGAAUCUUUACUCAAAACUUGAAAACUUCACAACACAAAACUUAACAGAAAACUCGUAAGCUCCGUUGGUAUAAGAAAAUAAAUCACCACUUAGGUACUGUUGUGAACUCAUUCUAAAUUUAUAUUGGUGUAUUAUCUACUGUAUUCCAACUUCUCUAUGGUUUAUAAACUCUUUUACUAGCCGUAGAUUCAUCAAAAUAAG